GACGAAGGGGGCUAGCGUUGUUCGGAAUUACUGGGCGUAAAGCGCGUGUAGGCGGUUGUCCAAGUUGGAUGUGAAAGCCUUGAGCUUAACUCAAGAAAUGCAUUCAGGACUGGAUGACUAGAGGACCGGAGAGGAUAGUGGAAUUCCCAGUGUAGUGGUGAAAUACGUAGAGAUUGGGAAGAACACCAGUGGCGAAGGCGGCUAUCUGGACGGUUUCUGACGCUAAGACGCGAAAGCGUGGGGAGAAAACAGG
RNAcentral lists this ribosomal RNA (253 nucleotides) under uncultured bacterium. RNAcentral describes it as "partial 16S ribosomal RNA". It matches the Rfam family "Bacterial small subunit ribosomal RNA", at positions 524 to 776 of the family's 1533-position model. The record is from RNAcentral.